Long non-coding RNA from Brassica oleracea var. oleracea, 212 nucleotides. RefSeq lists it as uncharacterized. The transcript has 3 exons. The record is from RefSeq and is a predicted model, not a curated record. NCBI's taxonomy places the organism in Eukaryota, Viridiplantae, Streptophyta, Magnoliopsida, Brassicales, Brassicaceae.
AGUAGAAGAAAAGAAUACGUGGGAAAAUGGUUGGACUUUGUUGCAGAUAUGGACAAGUUCUUCAAGGAGAAGAUAUGGCAAUUCAGUAAAACUAGUUCGACGGAGAGAGCAAUGGUCAUUGGCCUAGGCGCUGUUAAUCUCUUUGGUGUUAUUGUUCUAAACACCCUCCUAAAGGAGAUGGCGUUCAGACCAAGUGGAUUUAUUACAUUUGU